Molecule: ribosomal RNA, 415 nt
Filed under: uncultured bacterium
Lineage: Bacteria
Description: bacterial SSU rRNA
Rfam family: Bacterial small subunit ribosomal RNA
Source: RNAcentral
GAUGAACGCUGGCGGCGUGCUUAACACAUGCAAGUCGAACGAAGCACUUUAUUACGAUUUCUUCGGAAUGACGAUUUAGUGACUGAGUGGCGGACGGGUGAGUAACGCGUGGGUAACCUGCCUUAUACAGGGGGAUAACAGUUAGAAAUGACUGCUAAUACCGCAUAAGCGCACAGGACCGCAUGGUCCGGUGUGAAAAAACUCCGGUGGUGUGAGAUGGACCCGCGUUUGAUUAGCUAGUUGGUGGGUAACGGCCGUACCAAGGCGACGAUCAAUAGCCGACCUGAGAGGGUGAAACGGCCACAUUGGGACUGAGACACGGCCCAAACUCCUACGGGAGGCAGCAGUGGGGAAUAUUGCACAAUGGGGGGAAACCCUGAUGCAGCGACGCCGCGUGAGUGAUGAAGUAUUUCGG